Mesocricetus auratus (golden hamster) is the source of this 323-nucleotide unclassified non-coding RNA. Its record names the gene 7SK. It matches the Rfam family "7SK RNA". From Rfam's summary of the family: 7SK was discovered as an abundant small nuclear RNA in the mid-70s but a possible function has only recently been suggested. NCBI's taxonomy places the organism in Eukaryota, Metazoa, Chordata, Mammalia, Rodentia, Cricetidae. The record is from Ensembl.
GGAUGUGAGGGCGAUCUGGCUGCAACAUCUGUUACAUCAUUGAUCGCCAAGAUUGAUUCAGCUGAUCAGGUGUCCCCUUCCUCCCUCACCGUUCCAUGUGCAUCCCUCCCUAAGCUGCAUGCUUGGUUGAAGAGGACCACCUUCCCAAAUAGAGGAGGAAUUGUUUUCUAUCAAGGGUACAGGAUAGCUGUUCUCCCCUGCUAGAACCUGCAAACAAGCUCUCAAAAAGAGAUAUUUUAUAUUCCACUCUUUCACACCUUUGUGAGAAUACCAGAAGGGACAGCUACCAUGUACAUAGGAGUGACUUUGCCAUGUCUUAGCUU